GGGGCUGUAGCUCAGUCGGUUAGAGCUGGGAACUCAUAAUUCCGAUUGGCGUCUUUCGCCAAGUCCCGCCA
RNAcentral lists this transfer RNA (71 nucleotides) under Aporhodopirellula rubra. Its description in RNAcentral is "tRNA-Ile". The record is from RNAcentral. Lineage: Bacteria; Pseudomonadati; Planctomycetota; Planctomycetia; Pirellulales; Pirellulaceae.